RNAcentral lists this ribosomal RNA (701 nucleotides) under gamma proteobacterium PM26. RNAcentral's name for it is "bacterial SSU rRNA". It matches the Rfam family "Bacterial small subunit ribosomal RNA", at positions 72 to 769 of the family's 1533-position model. Lineage: Bacteria; Pseudomonadati; Pseudomonadota; Gammaproteobacteria. The record is from RNAcentral.
AUGGGAGCUUGCUCCCAGGCGUCGAGCGGCGGACGGGUGAGUAACACUUAGGAAUCUACCUAGUAGUGGGGGAUAGCUCGGGGAAACUCGAAUUAAUACCGCAUACGACCUACGGGAGAAAGGGGGCAGUUUACUGCUCUCGCUAUUAGAUGAGCCUAAGUCGGAUUAGCUAGAUGGUGGGGUAAAGGCCUACCAUGGCGACGAUCUGUAGCUGGUCUGAGAGGAUGAUCAGCCACACCGGGACUGAGACACGGCCCGGACUCCUACGGGAGGCAGCAGUGGGGAAUAUUGGACAAUGGGGGCAACCCUGAUCCAGCCAUGCCGCGUGUGUGAAGAAGGCCUUUUGGUUGUAAAGCACUUUAAGCAGUGAAGAAGACCUAAUGAUUAAUACCCAUUAGCGAUGACAUUAGCUGCAGAAUAAGCACCGGCUAACUCUGUGCCAGCAGCCGCGGUAAUACAGAGGGUGCAAGCGUUAAUCGGAAUUACUGGGCGUAAAGCGAGCGUAGGUGGCUUGAUAAGUCAGAUGUGAAAUCCCCGGGCUUAACCUGGGAACUGCAUCUGAUACUGUUAAGCUAGAGUAGGUGAGAGGGAAGUAGAAUUUCAGGUGUAGCGGUGAAAUGCGUAGAGAUCUGAAGGAAUACCGAUGGCGAAGGCAGCUUCCUGGCAUCAUACUGACACUGAGGCUCGAAAGCGUGGGUAGC